Molecule: ribosomal RNA, 438 nt
Filed under: Staphylococcus aureus
Lineage: Bacteria; Bacillati; Bacillota; Bacilli; Caryophanales; Staphylococcaceae
Description: bacterial SSU rRNA
Rfam family: Bacterial small subunit ribosomal RNA
Source: RNAcentral
UUUUAUGGAGAGUUUGAUCCUGGCUCAGGAUGAACGCUGGCGGCGUGCCUAAUACAUGCAAGUCGAGCGAACGGACGAGAAGCUUGCUUCUCUGAUGUUAGCGGCGGACGGGUGAGUAACACGUGGAUAACCUACCUAUAAGACUGGGAUAACUUCGGGAAACCGGAGCUAAUACCGGAUAAUAUUUUAAACCGCAUGGUUCAAAAGUGAAAGACGGUCUUGCUGUCACUUAUAGAUGGAUCCGCGCUGCAUUAGCUAGUUGGUAAGGUAACGGCUUACCAAGGCAACGAUGCAUAGCCGACCUGAGAGGGUGAUCGGCCACACUGGAACUGAGACACGGUCCAGACUCCUACGGGAGGCAGCAGUAGGGAAUCUUCCGCAAUGGGCGAAAGCCUGACGGAGCAACGCCGCGUGAGUGAUGAAGGUCUUCGGAUCGUA